Long non-coding RNA from Mugil cephalus (flathead mullet), 2669 nucleotides. RefSeq lists it as uncharacterized. The record is from RefSeq and is a predicted model, not a curated record. The transcript has 3 exons. Lineage: Eukaryota; Metazoa; Chordata; Actinopteri; Mugiliformes; Mugilidae.
CUUCUCAGACCGUAAUCUGGCCAGGGAGCGGACUGUUUGAAGGUAGAAGCACUAACACUCUUCCACUUUCCUUUGACUCUGUAUCCCAGAAUGUAUGUGAUAGAUUCUAUUGACUUGUAUUAUACUUUAGCAGGUGACGAUGCAAUACUAGACAGCGUUUUGGAUUACGAGAACGAGAGUGGACUUCUAUCUCAAUCUGAUUAAUACAAUACAAUACAAUACAACAGACAGGCCCGAGACACCUCCGGCUAAAGGUAAGAAGAAGAAGAAAAGAAAAAAAAAAGUAUAAAUUUUAAAUAAAUAAGUAAAAUAAAUCUAAACCCGUCUCUCUCCAUCUUGUAGAGUGCAGACCAGAACCCGCUCACAAGGUGGACAAGGCUACUUGUACCAGCGAAGACGGUGUCUACCCACUACUCGUCAUACCCGACAUGCCAGAAAAGCAAGGCAGACAACCGGCUAACACUAAAGAAGCUGACACUGACGGAGGACCAUCUGGAUCCAAAAUUAGCAUACCAGAAGCACCAGAGAAAGCAGUGACUGACGACUCCAGCCCAAACCCAAACUGAAGCAUUCCAGUAGAAGAAGUGGCAGGAGGAAUACGAGGAGAUCAGCUUCAGGACGUCGGGGUCUAUCGAGAGGGAAGGUUGUGAAAACCUUUUGGAAAAUACUGACUUCUGUUUGUGAAUUGACCUCAGCUUUGACUAAGUAGAGUCGUGUGUGUUGUAAUGAUGAAUGAUCAAGGGGAAAAUUCGGUCUCGCAGUCAGCUCUGCUAUCUUUACAGUCUACGGUUGAAGUAUUAAGAGAUAUCCCUCACCCGCAAACUUUACCUCCACUGGUUGAAAUACAACAACAAUUAGAGAUUUCAAACGAGUCUCAGGCUCACCACGAACCUUCUGAUUUUCAAAAUUUGGAAAGUAUUGAUGUAGCCCUUCAACGUUUAAGAGAAGCUUUGUCCAGUCCUCCACUCCCGGAGCUCUUACCUCCUCCCUCUCAACCCCGCGUCGUUUGUCCGUCUAAUGUACCAUUACCUCGGCCGACCCAGGUUCCCCCUGUUCGUCCAACUGAAGAUUCCGUGCCCGCCCGUCUAACCUUUUACCCAUAAACGAUCCGUUACCCGGUCCGUCCUCGUACUUCCCAACUGCAACAGCAGCCGCUCAAAGGGGUGCGGGUCAAAAUCCUGAAUCCCCCGGGAGGGUCUCCAGAGACAGGUUUAAUAACAUUGAAAUAAGACAGAUGCUAAAUUUCAACUUUCCCAAUCCUGUGAGUAAUUACGCAGAGUUUUAUCUUAAUGUGAUGGAGACUCUCCAAGCAGCGGUUGAACGGGCUGUAUCCUAUGCCAGACAGGUGGAUGUGCUGCAACUAGAAUUAAGGGGGGAAAGAUCAAACAGCACCUCUGUCAUAGUCAGACACAAUGGCAGUCUAUCUCUAAACCAUGUUCAAGAGGCUCUUGACCGCCUUGUGCAAUCAAACAUGGCCAUUAUGCCGGAAGAUGAGAUGGAGUUAACUUGUGCAGGUGGUACGUAGUCCUAGAGGGGGUGUUAAAAGAAAACUGCAAACCAUUUUUGACGAUGAAAUCUGCAGGAAAAAAGCCCAUUGCCUGAACAUUGUCAUCAAUCCUGGCAACCAGCUCUGCUUUGCCAUUAACCUCGCUCAGCUUUUAAACCGUGAAUUAACCACGCGGCAGGCCACUGAGCACGCUAAAGUGCUACAGAAUCAUGCGGGGUUAGCGGACAACACGCCUGUGACUUUUAAUGCUAUUAUCAAUUUUGAACAGGUUUUAGAUUGCAAAAUCGUCGUCUUCUUCAGAGCAGACGGUGAGCGGGCCCUGUCUAAAUUCCAAACAUCUGAAGGAAUGCAUCCUAAAACCCUCUAUCUCUUCCUCCAUCAGAACCAUUACCAUGGUAUCACCAACCUGAAAACAUUUCUAGGUGCACGGUACGUCUACGGUUACUGCCACACAGGUUUUACUAACUUAUGGCAGCAUCAGUGCCCGGGCCGUUGUUCUGUAUGCUUGUCAUCAGACUGCACAAAAACUGAGACUAAACUGAUUAAAUGCCCCGAUUGUAAUAUGACGUGUCGAUCCGACACGUGUUAUUUAAAACAUAAAAUACCUCGUCAUCGCCCCACCUCCGGUACAGCCGCCAGCAACUGCGGUACAAUUAAAAAGUGCAAUACCUGCAAAGUGGUGUAUUACUCGGCCAUCAGCGGCAGCACCCAGCACAAAUGUCGAGCUAAGACAUAUCUGGUCUGUUCCGUAAAGGACCCGGGCGAGGAUCAUCUGUGUUACAUGACUCCUUUGAAGGUUGAGACUGAUUAUUCGAACCACAUAGUGUUUUAUGAUUUUGAAAUAUUUGUAAAUGAAACAGGCAGACACAUCCCAUUUUACAUCAGUACACAGUCUAUGCUUGGAAAGAAGUGGGGUUCCUGGGGCAUUAGUUGCGCAGCUAGCUUCUUUAAACACUUCAGAAAACAGAAAUACAGAGGCUGCAUCUUCAUAGCUCACAACGCUAAGGGUUUCGACAGUUACCUGCUUCUCAAUCAUAUAAUUCAGCAAGGUAUGGCACCCCGUAUAAUCAUGCAGGGCAGCAAGGUGUUGCAGAUGGUGGAUGAGGCGUUCCGUCAAACAUACAUCGACUCGCUUUCCUUCUUAACCAUGCGCCUAGCAGAU